UCUUUGGUUAUCUAGCUGUAUGAGUGUCUAUAAUAUCAUAAAGCUAGCGAACCGAAUGUA
Molecule: microRNA precursor, 60 nt
Filed under: Gekko japonicus
Lineage: Eukaryota; Metazoa; Chordata; Lepidosauria; Squamata; Gekkonidae
Description: Gja-Mir-9-P4_pre stem-loop
Rfam family: mir-9/mir-79 microRNA precursor family
About the family: The mature ~21nt miRNAs are processed from hairpin precursor sequences represented here. miR-9 is processed from the 5' arm of its precursor, and miR-79 from the 3' arm. The bounds of the precursors are predicted based on conservation and base pairing and are not generally known.
Source: RNAcentral